Molecule: non-coding RNA, 1851 nt
Organism: Xyrichtys novacula (pearly razorfish)
Lineage: Eukaryota; Metazoa; Chordata; Actinopteri; Labriformes; Labridae
Source: the annotation of a GenBank genome assembly
CAGUCAGGACGGGUAUCAGGAGGAGUUCUGGUCCGGUCUGGGGGACUGCUGAGGUGACCUUUAUUGAACCCUCAACAGCUGAGGACGCAGCUCUGUCACCUCUCUGGAACCAACUGUGAAACUGAUGCCACCUGCUGGACAAACAGAGUCACUACAAAGUCAUUAAAGAGGACCCAGGUUUGACUGAAAGGAGAACUGGAACCAGUUCAAACCACCGCAGACAGUUUCAGAGAAGUCCUGAUUUAGCACACACACACACACACACACACACAUGGAUAUAUACACACACACACAUGGAUACACACACACACACACACACACACACACACACACAGCAUCAUGGCUGUGCGUUCAUAAAACAUGGUUAUAAUGGAAGUCAAUGGGUAGUAAAAAUGAAAAUCUAAUGAUGCACAAAAACUAUAAAUGUAUUAAAGUCAAUGUUGUUACUAAUAUUUAACAAAUCCAAGAGUGUGAUAGCACGUAAAACAUCUCCAGCCUCUGAUCAUUUAUAUUGAAUAUCAGUCAGUUAGUGUGAUUUUUCUUUCUAACAAAUCAGCGACAUCACCUCUGAAAUCAGCAUUUAAAGGGUUAAAGUCAAUAUCUUUUUUUAAUAUUUAUUUUGUUUUAUUAGGACUGAGACUGACUAAGGGGGAAAAAGUUAAGAGAAAUAUCUGAUAUGUUUUUACAGCAGCUGAAGUUAGGGGCUAAAACAGAGUUUGGCUGCUCUGAUAAAAUAUCACAAAUAUAUAUUUUUAAGUCCAGAUCAAAAAUAUUGAACAAAUCAAAACUAUUGGGUUUUAACCCUUUAAAUGAUGAUUUCAGAGGUCAUGUGACUGAUUAGUUAGAAAGAAAAAACACAUAAAAAGACUGAAUUUCAAUAUAAAGAUUUUUUACAUGAUCACACUCUUGGAUAUAUUUAAUAUUAGUAACAACAUUGACUUUAAUGCAUUAUUAAUUUUUAUAAAGCAUCAGAUUUAUUUACUUAUUUACUUCCCUUUGUUAUUUAGUGGUGAAUUAAUUAAUUAAUUAUUAUUAUUAUUAAUAAUAAUAUUGAACAUAGCCUCAGAUUUUUAUAUUGAUGAAGAUUAAAACCACAGUUUGUAAAUUCACGGUGCUGACACUGAGUUAUCAAACAUUCAGUCACAUGACACUGCACACACACACACACACACACACUUGUCUUUAUUUGGAGAUCAGGUGUCUGUUCUGCUCUGUGAUUGGUUCAUUUAGAAGCUCGUUUUAUCACGUUUAGGUCAGUUUAAGUCACAGACACACACACACACACACACACACACACACACACACAGACAGACACACACACACACAGACAAACACACACACACACACACACACAGACAAACUGCGGUUGGAGGUCUGAAAGUGUCUGUGUGGUUUGGUGUAUUGGGGUCAUUUCCUGCUCUUCUCUGAUUGGUCCUUUGUUUCCUCUUCACUCAGGUUCUGGUCCGUCACUUUCUGAACUGAGACGUCCAGCUCUCACACACACACACACACAAAAACAAACACAUGGACACAACCAGACACACACAGGUAGGACUAAACUCUUUAACUGACUUUAAUAUGUUCACUUUAUUUAUGUGUGUGUGUGUGUGUGAGAGUGUGUGUGUGUGUGUGUGUGUGUGUGUGUGUGUGUGUGUGUGUGUGUGUGUGUGUGUGUGUGUGUGUGUGUGUGUGUGUGUGUGUGUGUGUGUGUGUGUGUGUGUGUGUGUGUGUGUGUGUGUGUGUGUGUGUGUGUGUGUGUGUGUGUGUGUGAGAGUGUGUGUGAGAGUGUGUGUGUGUGUGUGUGUGUGUGUGUGUGUGUGUGUGUGUGAGUGUGUGUGUGUGUGUGUGUGU